CAUCCUGAAAAAUUAUUUAAUGCACUCUUCAAAGAACUGUAAAAGCUUAUAACAUCAUUGGAGUGUUGUUUCUGAUGAAGUCUAUUUUUAUAUUGAUUGAAUUGGAUUUGGAUUUUGACAUUUUGCUAUUGGAACAGGUUCGAGGAAUAUUAAGGGAAUCUAAUCACUAACUGCAUGAUUGCUAGGAAAUGCUUGCUUCCCAGAGGAUGUGAACGCCCUUCAAUGACUGAUGUUGUGCAUGUACUCAAGCUUGCUCUGGAACUGCAGGAAACUGCUGAUGUUGCAUUGGAGAAUGAGGACAUGGAGCUCUCCGGCUCACGCUGAAUAACUUGUGUUCCUGUAAUACUUAAUAUAGAUUGGAUAACAUCUUUUAGGGUGGAUUGGUAUAGUAUUUUUGGAUAUUAUUAUGUGAUUUCAAUAAUGGAUGUUGGAUCGAGACAAUUUGUAAUGUUUGGUUUGGUGCUAUUAAUGUAUUUUUGGAUAAAUUGGCUUA
Molecule: long non-coding RNA, 493 nt
Organism: Cornus florida
Lineage: Eukaryota; Viridiplantae; Streptophyta; Magnoliopsida; Cornales; Cornaceae
Exons: 3
Source: RefSeq, a predicted model, not a curated record